GUGAAUCAUCGAAUUUUUGAACGCAUAUUGCACUCACUGGUAUUCCGGAGAGUAUGCCUGUUUGAGGGUCAGUUAAUUAAAAAUCGGGGUUGUUACCAUCUUUUUAGUGGGGAUGCUUAGGAAUUGAGUUGUCUUUUUGUUAUGUGACUUAAAAUUUUUGUAUGUAUUCUAACUUAUUUAAAUUAUUUAGGAACGUUUAUUAUUUCAUUUGUUAGGUACGAUCAUUCUAAUGUC
This 234-nucleotide unclassified non-coding RNA is filed under the name Glomerales sp. RNAcentral's name for it is "partial contains 5.8S ribosomal RNA and internal transcribed spacer 2". The stretch from base 1 to 71 matches the Rfam family "5.8S ribosomal RNA", at positions 84 to 154 of the family's 154-position model. The record is from RNAcentral. Lineage: Eukaryota; Fungi; Glomeromycota; Glomeromycetes; Glomerales; Glomeraceae.